GCGCCCGUAGCUCAGUUGGAUAGAGCAACGGACUUCUAAUCCGUAGGUCGCAGGUUCGAAUCCUGCCGGGCGUG
RNAcentral lists this transfer RNA (74 nucleotides) under bacterium. RNAcentral's name for it is "tRNA-Arg". It matches the Rfam family "tRNA". From Rfam's summary of the family: Transfer RNA (tRNA) molecules are approximately 80 nucleotides in length. RNAcentral also lists the same sequence under 5 other names. The record is from RNAcentral.